Molecule: long non-coding RNA, 2436 nt
Organism: Harpia harpyja (harpy eagle)
Lineage: Eukaryota; Metazoa; Chordata; Aves; Accipitriformes; Accipitridae
Exons: 3
Source: RefSeq, a predicted model, not a curated record
UCAACAGUAAGGCACGGUAGUAGCUGUUUAGUGAAAAUGUGUGAAUAAUCCUCGAGUGAGGUUCAGAUUGCAGGAGCACACUGGCAUCCUGGUCUAAUGUUGUUGCUGUAAUGUAAAACUAAGACACAGAACAUCAAACAGGAGUUUUCAUCACUGAGGUCAAAUGGAAAUACAGGAUUUGGUGCUACGCAUAAUGCAGACUUGCCUAAGCAAAGAAGAAAUCAAGAUUUAUGCUAAAAGACUUGAUAAACUUGCCAGGACUUUGAAGGGAAAAAAAAAAAAGCUGUGACAGACUACUUAGUAAUGCAAUCUUGUGUGUUACAAAUCUUUGUGUGAACAAAUGUGACUGUGAUGCUAGAUAAAAAACGCAACCCAUGUCUUCUGUUUCCCCAAGGAGGUAAACCUGUCUUUAGUUUAACCUGGGCGAAUGUUAGAGGAGCAGUGCCUCAAAUAAGCCAGCAAAAAGGAUGGAGCCUUGGUGCUGGCCUGGGGCCUCAUUAUUUACAUACAGCAUUAAGAGUCUUUACGGAAAAGUCAACUGAAAGACUUUUCUGAUAUGUCUUCAACAGUGGAAAUUCUGGACUUUUAUUUGAAAUUAACUAUUACUGCAAUCAAUUGAUACAAACUUUUUUCAGACUCUCAAAAUGUGAAAAUGAUGUACCCAAGACUAAAGACAGUUGCAUUAUUUACCGUGUUUUAGAGUAAGAGAUGAUUCAAGUAACAAGAUGGCAAUCAAUGCAUCUUCCUCAAGUACUUUCUUUCUUAAACUUAGUUUAGUAUGAGCCUUAGACAGUGAAAUCCUAAGAGAUUAAUAUAAGCAUGUCAGAAAUGAAAAAUAUUGCAGACAUGAAUGCAGUAUGUAUUGCCCUGUUUCAAGCACUUCUGUAAAUCAAAAGUUAACACUGGACUGGUUUUUUUUCCAUACUUCAGCUGUGUAAGCUUCCCACAAAUUCUGUGCAGUUACAUUUGUCACUCACAAAGUACAUACUAUUAUGCAUGACUUCCUUGGGCUAUGAAAGCAUUGGAACUUGGCAUAUUAUCUACUGUUAAUACUUUUUUUUGCUUGCAUAAUACAAAGCUGUAGUAAUUUAAAUCCCAUUUUUGUUUUUCUAGACAGCUUUAAUAGUGAUAAUUGCUUCUUAAAUCACUGGGGUUUUGCCUGGCAUCAAUAUAUAAAAUAAAUGGUAUUCAUAAAUGGUAAAUAAGAUUCUUUACACUUGAACUUUUCAAAACUUGAGUGUCUUGUCUAGAUUUUUAUUUAACAAGCUCUUGAACAGGUUGGCACAAUUUCUAUUUGGAAUGUAGAUGUGUUUCCUUUACUAUGAAAGGUAGGACAUACAGAAUUUUUAGUGCAGAUGGUGAUAAUGUUGACCCAUGAAAAGAAUCUCUUCUCACUCUGCGACUUGCAAGAUAGUAGCCCUGAAUGAGGUUUUCUGCUUCUGAACUCAGUUCAACAUGAAGAUUCCUAGCAAAGAAAAUAAACUAGAGAGAGGGUAUAAAUUUUAAAUAUUUAACUGGAAAAUAAAUAAUUUACAUUUUUCACACCUUUUAACAUACCAGUGGCAUAGUAAUACAGUUUGGACAAUAUAUUCCACCAAUAGUUUUUAUAAAGACAGCUGUCACCAUUCAGCUAUGCAUAAGGAUAGAUCUCAGAUACUAAACAGAAUCAUCUGUUAGUUAUACUAGAGAUAUUGACAGUUUAUUUAGAAUGGAAUGUUAACUUUUACUACUGAUGGUAAACUGUUCUGGUCAAAAGUAGGUAUUGGAGAUCUGUUCUCAUAUGAAUGUUAACCUAAUAUGUUUUUCAGAAACAAGAUCAAACAAUUUAUUCUGGCCCUUUUGAAGAACUGAAGCUAAUUUUAUAAUGAUCCUGUUAGUGCUAGUGGGAAUAUGGUGGGGGGAAAGGGUAGAAAGUUAGCAUUAACAGGUUUAAAAAUAAGUAAUCAGAAUGUGCGGAGAGAACCUUCUGAUUCCAGAAAUAGUAUGAUAUUCCUAAAUAUAAUGCAUUUCUAAAUUAUUGGGUAGUAUCCGUUACCUCUUCAUAAUCCUGCAUUCUGAACUGCUGUGAGACUUUGUACAGCAUGACUUCAGGAUUAAUGGCUUUUUCCAAGAUAUGAUGUACAAGAGAAGAAGAUAGUUGGCAUGAAGGAAACUCACUGUAUAUCAAAAGCCCAAAACUAUCUAGAAGGUUAGGUGGAAUCAAACUCACAUCCUAAAGAGAAGACACAGAGAAAGAAAACAAUUACUUUAUUUCAGCCUUUUGACUUGUAGAAACAUCACAGUUUUUUCAGUCUGAAGUGUUCAAUAUCCAUAUAUACUCAGUCCUGCAACAUUAUCUAAUGAAUUACCUAUAAUGUAUGCCAUAAAAUUUUGUUUCAACAGUAGUCGUCAAGCUGUUCUGAAUAAAAUAAAGGAUACCUGCUUUUGGGAAAGCUA